UUUAUCUCGAUAUAUUUAGAGAUACAAGCAAUUAACUUAUUUUUCACUGUUUAGAGUGUUAAAUGUCAAUUACUAAGUUAUAAUCAAACUUUUUUUUUUAAAUAAGUCAUAAACACAAUAUAAGAUUUAUUUUAAAGAAUGAUAACUAUCACAAUAUUAAUUUUGAAUGUGAUUGUUCUUGUGCUUGUGUUAGUUUUGUUAGUACUUGCAGUUAAGAAAAAUUAGGAAACAAACAAACAGAAGGAAAACAUAACAAAAUAAACAUUAAGCUCAAACUUUAGAAUAACAAUCAAAGAAAUUGAAGCAACUCAAUAUUUUCAGUCAAUCCUUGUUGAUAUAGAUCGUCAAACUUAAUCUUUUCGUCACUUCUUGUUUUGUUUCAUAAUUAAUUGAAAUACCAAUAUUCAAAUUUAUAAUUUUGGAAGCCAAUACUUAUAUUCAACUUAAUUAUAAUUUGUCUUCAGCUCAAGCCAUGCUUUCUCUGAUAAAUCUUAUUCUAAGGCUGAAAAGAAAGUGGAAAACAAAGAUAAUGUAACAUUAUUAAUUAUAUUGAACAACCUUCAUUUUGAAGAUAAAUGGAGUAUAUCCUUAGUAAAAGCAUUUCUGACAGCUUCAUUAUUAGAAAGAAGUGCAUUUUGAAUUUCAGUUUGUAAUUCUUCUUCAUUCAUUAGACCAAGAUGAUACUGCCUAACGAAAUUUAAAAGUGAAAAAUAUGAAUCUCUAGGAAGUACUUGGCUAAUUCUAUUCCAAACCCCACUUUUGCUAACUGAGGAUUGAACUAUAUCACUACGAGGGGAAUUUCCAGAUCCCGUUUUUUGGUGACUACUAAUUAAUCCUCCGAUAUCCUCUGUACAGUUUUCGAAGCAUAAUUCGCUAUUAUUAAUUGUAAUAAAGUUGCUUGGAUGAUGAAUUGCUUCAGUAACUAAUAGAUGUGGGAUUUCUUUAAUUUCAACAUUUUCACAUUGUUCUGAUAAUAGAGAUCUGUUGUCAUCUUUAUCAUGAUUUAACUCAUCGUUUCUUUUUUUACCAUAUUCAUGAUUAGAACAAGAAACAUCUCCAUAUUUAGCAAGACACCUCUCCAAUUUAGCAAGU
This 1092-nucleotide non-coding RNA is filed under the name Cryptosporidium parvum. Lineage: Eukaryota; Apicomplexa; Conoidasida; Eucoccidiorida; Cryptosporidiidae. The record is from RNAcentral.